RNAcentral lists this unclassified non-coding RNA (273 nucleotides) under Hevea brasiliensis (rubber tree). The record is from RNAcentral. Lineage: Eukaryota; Viridiplantae; Streptophyta; Magnoliopsida; Malpighiales; Euphorbiaceae.
AACACUCACUUACCACUUUUGAAGUUCUUCAAAACCUCACCAAAACUUCUUAAAAUUGCUAUCAAACUCUUCCUUGUGAUGUAGGGAUAAACUUUAAUGAAGCAACCUUGGUGUUUGGAGGUGGAAUGGAGGAGAUGAUGAAGCUUGAAUUACAUGCGACAAUGGAGGUUUUGGGAGCUCUUCACUACGGAAAUGGUGAUUUUUAAGGUUGAAGAUGAAGUUUUAGUGGAUUAAUCUGCCCACUUAAUGCAUAUUAUAAUCCUUAGUGGUCCA